Triticum aestivum (bread wheat) is the source of this 1067-nucleotide RNA transcript. RefSeq lists it as uncharacterized. The transcript is spliced from 2 exons. The record is from RefSeq and is a predicted model, not a curated record. NCBI's taxonomy places the organism in Eukaryota, Viridiplantae, Streptophyta, Magnoliopsida, Poales, Poaceae.
CUCCCAUGCCCCGUCUUUCCAGUUUCUACCUCCCACAAAAAUCUCAAUCUGCGCCGCCACCAAAGCCUAUCCCCCGCGGCAGUUCUCGGCCUGGCUCUGCCCUCCGGCGCCAACUCCACCCUCGGCCGGCGGCUUCCCGUUCUCCUAUGUCGGCAUCCUCGCGAGUGGGAGCCCCGUCGGCCGUCGGUGUCCUCGCCGUUGCCACGCCGCGCCCCUCCAAACUCUCAUUGCUACACCGUCCCGCAAAGAUGGGAUCCGGAAUGUCAAGAAGAUAUUCGAGGAUUUAACAUUAUGGAAAUGUUCAGCAGAUGAUCUUUUGUAAGUGAAAAGAAUACAUUUUUAUAAGAGCAAUCAAUGUGGGACCAAUACAAGAUGUGUGAUUUAUCCAUGUUCCAACCUUUUCUGCUGACAAAGAGGGUUCAGAACAAUGUAGUCGUCAUCUGUUUGAAAGAUAAGCUGGAUUAUCUCUAGAUCAGCUGGCUCAAACUAAAUUUGUUGUGUCAUCCCCACUAGUUUAGAGUUUCUAUUGGACCGAAGAUUACUAGUGUCGACAAGCAUAACCAGUCAAUCCUAAGAAAUCUUAGUUCUAUAGAGAAGAAACAAAUAAAUUAUAAGUAUUCUUUUUGAAAUCAUUGUAUAUUUCUUAUUUAAAAUUAUCUAGCUCUGCUUCUCUAUAUUUCCCUUCACCUUUUCUGGUGCUAAUGUGCUUUUAUUGCAGGAUUUAGAGGACAAAACUAAUUAUAUGGACAGAUUAUAACAGGUUUUAUAUCGGAAAUAAUCUUGAAAUGUGCAAGGGAAAUCUUCACAUUUUUCUAGAAGCCAUGUCCCUAAAAACUGCGAAAAAGCUGCGAAAGCCGUCAAGCUGAUGUACCAAACUAGCUAUAGAAUUUUUAGAUAGAUUUCGACAGAGAAUUUCCAUUUUAUUUUCAAAUUGGUUUUAACUUUCAGAUAGCCAGAAUUAAAUUAGAAGUUUAUUUUCUAGUGACAUACACAUUAUUGUAUGAACGUACAGUUCACUUGUAAAGUAUCAAUACCCUUUUUGAUAAAAAUAUUUGUAAUGGCUUGCA